This 253-nucleotide ribosomal RNA is filed under the name uncultured bacterium. RNAcentral's name for it is "partial 16S ribosomal RNA". It matches the Rfam family "Bacterial small subunit ribosomal RNA", at positions 524 to 776 of the family's 1533-position model. The record is from RNAcentral.
UACAGAGGGUGCAAGCGUUGUUCGGAAUUAUUGGGCGUAAAGGGCGCGUAGGCGGUGCGGUAAGUCACCUGUGAAAUCUCCUGGCUCAACUGGGAGCUUGCAGGCGAAACUGCCGUGCUGGAGUGUGGGAGAGGUGCGUGGAAUUCCUGGUGUAGCGGUGAAAUGCGUAGAUAUCGGGAGGAACACCUGUGGCGAAAGCGGCUCACUGGACCAUUACUGACGCUGAUGCUCGAAAGCUAGGGGAGCAAACAGG